UGAAGACAGGACAUGAAUUCAAGGUCAAUGGACACCGUUUGAAGCCCUGCUAUGAGACAUUUGAGGAGCAUGCCGUGGAGGACAUACCCCUCCAUGCCGUGGGCCCUAUUCAAGCUUAACUAGAGGUAUCGUUUGGCUGGAAGACGUUAAAGCAAGCGCUUCUUGGGAGGCAACCCAUGGGUUCAAACGAGGGAUUGAAGGAAUUCAAGCUCCAUAACCAGAUUUACGUUCCUACACUCUACUCUUUCUUGAUGUUAUUUUGCCGUGUUUGUCAUGUUUGUUAGUUGUGUUGAUUGCUUGUUUGAGUGUGAGUCUAUGUUUGAAACUUUGAGGACAAUGUUUGGUUUAAGUGUGGGGGGGGGUAAACAAGUGUUUGAUUACAAAUUCGUAGGAUUUUACCACCUAGCAUAACUAGGGUUGUUUCUCACUAUUUUAAGUGUUUUUAGAGUGUUUUGAAUUGUUUUAGUGUGUCUUAAAAGAAAAUUAUGAAAAUUUGAAAAAAAAAAUAGAAAACGUUUUGAAAAACCCAAAAAGAAUCGUUUUAGAGUCAUUUUGUGUGUUUAUGUCUUAGAGUACCUUCCAACACAAUGAUGAGGAUUUGGUUUUUAAUUAUAUGACUGUUAAAGAAAGUUACAAACAUGGGUGGAAGUUUGAUUUGCUCUUGGGUUUAUGCUUGGUUAUAGUUGUCGUUUACGAAUUCACAUGAAAUCACAAAGGAAAAAAUCAGUUUUUGUAACAUACUUGAAGAAAGGAACUCAAACUAACGGUACAACCCUGAGAGACUUGAGCCUAAACUUUAUUUGGAGAGUUAAUAAUCUGUGAUUUCUUGCUUUCUAAAGUCAUUGCAUGAUCUCAUUAUUCUUUGCUUAGUUGCUACUUAGAAUGCGUUUCAUCACUUUAGUUCCAAAUACUAGAACUCAUGCCCGUUUCAUUCAAAACUUAAAAUUGAGUGCAUAACAUAUAACAAGAUGAAGUUUUUUAGUAGUUACCACCAGAGCCAAAAAGCCUUUAUCCCAUGCAUUUGUUUUGUAGGUUUAACCCCUUUGAGCCUUAUUUAGCCUAUUUUCUUUGUUAGCCACAUUAUCCCGACCUAGCCUAGAAUAGGACUAUCCACACCCUUGUUCUUAAAGUAUAGUGGAGCAUGACUUAGAGGGAAUUCCUUUUGAUCAACAUUAUUGCAGAAAACAAGUGUGGGGGAAGAGUUUCAAAAGUGUGUUUUGUGUGCCAAAGAAAUAGGGCAAAAGCAAAAAAAAAAAAAAAAAAAAAAAAACAGAAAGAAGAAAAAGAAAAAAAAAGUUGUGGAAUAAGUGAGAAUGAACUCACAAGUAUUAGUUGUUGAAGAAAGGGUCCAAAAAGUUUGAAUAUGACCCUAAGUUGUACGAAAUCCCCUUAGUGUUUCAAGUUAUUUGUUGCAUUCAAGAGUGAACUCUAAGUUGAUUUCAUUACUUUGCUUACUAUUGCUUUAAGAACCUUUGUUUAUCCCUAACCUUUCUUUGUUAGCCGAUACCCUUAGCCCCAUUACAACCCUUAGACUUUUAUCUUGGUUGUUGUGUGUUUCAAUAUGUGGAGUUUGGGAUUGGUACGAGCAUAUGGUAUCCUUGGUUCUCGCAUCUAAAUAAUGGCAUUCCGUUCAUGAGAUCAUAUACAUGUUUAUGUUAAUAACUCCAGAAAGUGCUUUCUUUGUUUAAAAACAUAUGUGAGUGUUAGUUUACAUGUUUACAUCAAUCUUCUCACAUAUACUUAGUAUAGGGAGUGUAGUCAGAAAAUCUAUGUGAAAAUAGAGUGUACAUCCGGUGAAGAAUUGAGGGAAUUCUCUAAGGCAUGUUACUAUAUUCAAAAAUAUUGUUUUAAUUGAUUAAAUGCAAACUAGUGAGUGAUGAAUGUGAUUAAGUAUGCGCUCGAGAGUAGGGAUGACUAAAACCUAUGUGAGUAGUGAUUUUUAAUCAUGUUUCAUUGGAAAUCCUUGAGGCAAACGUUGGAAGGUUUAGGUUAUGUUUUUGUUUUGUUUGUUUUGUUUCCUUUGUUUUGCUCGAGGAUUUGAUAGGAGCAUAUUUAUGCGACUUAGUUAGCUUGUUUUCUUGCAUUUUCGUAGUUAGUUUGUGCUUAUUAUAGUGAUUUAAGUUAUUUUCGUGUGUUUGUAGGUCCAAAUGACAAAGUUGGCAAGAAAGUGCAUUUUGGAGCAGUUUUGGACACUAAAUGGAUAGCACAUGUAUGGGCCAAGGUGGAUGGACGUUUUUGGAGUUCAAAAGGCUAGGAAUCUGAUAAGGAGAUGAAGAAAUUAAAUUCAAGACAAAGAAGAUAAGGAAUCAGCUCAAAAGAAGAAACAUUAUCCAAAACCUUAUCCAACCUUAUCUUAUCCAAACCAACCUUAUUUUAUCUUAUCCUAUCGUAAUCUUAUCAUGCCUUAAUUCUAGCUGCAAGGGGACCUAAAUAUAUAUUUCUAGAAGCUAUUUUUAGAAGCAUUAUCUUCUAGAAGUCCCAAAUCAACCACAAAACACAUUGUUUCUAGAAUUCCUACAAAAGUAGCGCCUAUUCCCUUCUAGAAGGCUUUUCCCUUGCCUUGCAAGCCACUCAUUUUCCCUCCAAUCUGUGCCGCACCUUUCCUUACCCAAUUCCCUUUGGAUUCUGAUUUAAUUAGCCUUUUUCCUUAUGGAUUUGGGUUAUGCAAAUCCUUUUCAGAAAUUAAUUGGGCAAAACCCUUUUCUUGGUGGAUUUAAACCCUUGUGCCGCACCUUUAAGCCCUAAUCCUCAAAAUCUACUAAGUUCUAACCCUAAUCUGAUUAACCCUAGCUCUUGCCAUGCCUAUAUAUAUGUGUUUUUCAGCCAAAAUUCGUCACCACCCCAUACCAUUCAGAAAUACAAUCUGCCACAACUCAUACACCAUUCUACAUCAUUCUCCACCAACAUACAUCUUUGAUGCACCCUUUUGUGAAGAAGGAGAUCCUUGUCGUGCAUUCUAUUGAUGAAGGAGGACCUUGUGCACAAGCCACCUGCAUCCUUGGGAGUUCUAAGAGUUCUUUUUUCCCUCGUUUUAGUUUCAAUGUUUAUUUCAAUUUGCUUUUCAAUUGCUGUGAACAUGUGUAACUAAGUUCUUAUUAGUUAGUGGUGAAUUCGAAGCCAUGGACAUAUGUUAAUAUGAAUUGAUGCCUUUCAGUUAUUGUUUCGUAAAACAUGAAUGUGAUUUACUUAUCUAUUUGAUUGAUAACUUAUUCUUGUGUGUUGAUUACGGAUGCAUACUUAGUUUGCAUACAUGAAUCUGAUGCUAAAUUGUAAGGUACUUUCACCUAAUCCUUACGAACUUAUAAUUACAAGUAGUGGAGAUUGUUAGCCACAAUCGUGUUAUGUAGAUUCUUGGCAAGAGUAUCAUGCAGUUCAUAGUUAUGAUUGCGUUGUCAAUGCUUAUGAUUUCCAUGGAACUUAAUGAUCUUUGAAUGUAUCUCUAUCACGCUGUUCAUAUAGGAAACUUGAUGAGAAUAAUUUGGUUGCGAUGCGUUGUCCAUUCAAUUCAAUGAAUUUAGGGAAAUCAGAGAGUUAAUUUGUGCAUUCACAAUUAAUUUUGGGCAUUAUCGUUCAUGGUUUAAAGAAACAAUACUGGAAAUCGAUUUAUGUUGCAUAUGUUAAUGAGUGGAGAAGGAUCCUCUAACUAGCCUAUUUCACCAUUCAAUUCACUUUAUUUCAUACCUAGUUUGCUUUAGUUUCCAAUCUGUUUAGUUUAAUCAAAUUCGUCCAAAUCAAUCCCCCUUUCAAUUAAGUGUCUUAGAUUAGUUAAAAAUGUGUUUCAAUAUGUCCAAAUUAGUGUUUUGAGUCUCACUAGUGUUAAAUUCGUCCAAAUAGUUCUUAGAACUUGUUUUGAGUCUUUUAAAGUUAGUUUUGUUUAUUUGAGUGUUUUAGGUCAGUUUAGAGUUUAUAGAGUCUAGUUUUGUGUUUUUAAGUCUAGUUUUGUGUUUUAGAGUUUAAUUUAAGUAGAUUAGCAACCCUAGUUAAUUCUCGGUUUAGAACGAUCCAUACUUACUUAAUACUACAAUUACAUAUUCAAUAGGGUUUAAUUUGCGUGUUGGAUUAUUUCACAUCACAUCAACAUAACGGCAAACAAGAAUAAUUUUAAAAUGGAUUCUACCCAAUCAUUCUAAGGUUCCAAUACUUCAUUUUGUAGAUGUGAGUUGGACUAAUUGGUUAGGAUAUUAUGUAUCUCUUAUACCGAAGUUUAAAUCGCCUCCGUAGAAAUUAAAGUUGCUUAGAAUAUCACCUUAAAAAAGGUAAAGAAAAAAAAGGAACGUUUUAACUACUCACAUGUCAUCGACAAAAAGUUCGAAUCCCAAACAACUGAAAUAUGUUGGUAUUGACAAUAAAUGAACACGAUUGUAAGUCUUGGCUUAUCCGAGCUAGAGUAAUAUUUUUUUUGUAUAAUACAAUUGGCGUUGCUUCUUGUUGUCCUUUGGCAUUGGUGAUGUGAUCUUUGCCCUCUGGGCAAACCACUGGGACUCUUGUAUGCAAUUUUAAAAGUUGGCAAAUUGUUGACUCAAACCAUGGAUUAAUGUUCAUGCCCAUGACGAAUAUAAGAAAUAAAAUACUACCCAUACCACAAGUUUCCACAAGCAGUCAACUAUGAAAUUGGCCCAUAAGGAGGAAUGAAGUGGAAUGGAUAACUCUCUAAAUUCAAUGCCUAAUGAAGGAAGAGUAGAUUGAUUUUUAUUUUAGAAAAGGAUUAGACAUGAAGAAAACUUCUUCCUUUUAUUGCCUCCCGUUUGGGAAUGAUUGAAAUAGAUAACUUUUUUUUCUUGAAUAAUCCAUUUCUACCUCCAAAUUGGCCACAAAUUUUGAUUUCUUCUUUCGACGUACCUUGAAAAUAAUUAGUUAUCCAUUCAAUCCAACCAUCCAUACCAAACAAGGCCUUGGUCAUUCUCCUUUCCCCAAUAUGCUUGUCACUGAGCUCAGCAAUGUUGUCGUCCUAGCAGCAGAAUUAGAGGAAGGAAAACCCGUCCUGGACAAUGCAACCAGGAGAAUGACUUUGCUGUAAGGCUGGCAAAAUGUACCCAACCUUCACAUGUUCUCCACCAUUUUUUUUUCCUUUCAAUAAUUUCAGUUUGACCAUUUUCAAUUAGUUAAAAAGAUGUUUAUAUUGAUGGACAUAUAUACAUACAUAUAUAAAGGGAAUUAUUUCAAUUUCAUUUCUUUUGCUUUUAUUUCAACUCUUGUCGUCAAAUUUUAUUAAUUAAGCUAUUGAAUUUCAUAUAUGUAGCUGAUAUUUACCCUCUGUCCAACGCCUAAUAUGUCUCAGUUAAUUAAAGGAUUUGUUUAGAGUGUAAGGUUAGAAUUCCAUUAGGCUAUUACUUGGACCCUAAGUAAAAAGUCACAAUAUAAAACUAAAUUCCUGCACAUGCUGCUACACAUAACUAAGAAAGCAUCUCAAUAAAUUUGGCUGAUCAAAAGCAUAGAAGAUCUUGGUUUACUUUGAUCAUGGCGAUGUUGACUCCAGGUUAAUGAUUCAUUUUGUGUUUUAAUAUGCAUGGACAUGUAGGUUAACACUUAAAGAGGCUCAUCUCUAUAUGAUAGCUUUAUAUCAUAGAGAUGGAAUAGUUCCGUCUUUAAAUCAGAGCAAGUCCACCCCUAAGGACUUUGUGCCGGCACUCAACCCAUUUAUCCACUCUAGUGAACAGUAAUAUACUCCAAUGAAUAGUAAUAGGCCAAUACAUCUCCACCCCUAACAAAAAAUAGCCUAGUCAAUUUUAUUAAAAUAUAAUUAUUUUUUAUUAUAAAAUAAUAAAAAAUAAUUAUUUUUUAUUAUAAAAUCAUUAUUAUAAAGCUGGGCACCAAGCUAAAAAGCUCAGAACGAAACCAGGAACUAUGGAGCUCUGUAUGGGCGUUGUCAAUGGUGUCUCCAUGUCGGUCGUCAGCGUAUACCCAUCACCCCCUUCACGCUCUCUUCUUUCCCCAAGAAACACCAUUUCUCUUCAUCCCUUCACUUCUCUCCGACCCCCCUCCUCCCUUUCCUGCCAAUUCCAACAUCUCUAACCGCCACCACUCUCUCACUCGGUGGUUCCGGCUUCUCCUUCUUCGACGGCUGUCAGCGAUGAUAAAGAUCAACUUUCAGCUUUCCACUUCCGAAGCAUAUCUGCUUAUCCCGGCUCCGUGGCUCCUUCCCUUCAUGGCUCCUUGCCCUCCGACACCACGCUGGCGUCAGCUAGGCGUUACUUGAGCCAGUCCCAAGCUCUGUCGAUUUUAGGCCGGCCUGUGGACUGGCUUGGGCUGGGUGCCAGUCGAUUCCACGGGCUGGAGUGGAUUGGCUGAGUCUCAGCCUGUUUUUUCCACUGGGUGCCGACCUAUCCCACCCCCGGUGGACUUGCUCUCAUAGAGACGGAACUCAAUUCUGUCUUUAGAUAAUCGAUUAGGAGGCAUGAUAAGAAAAAAUAAUAAACAGACAAGUUUAUGUUUACUAUUCACUACUAGAAAACAGGCCAUAAGACAUUGUUUUGAGGACACCGUUCACUAUCAGUGUUUUUUUUAGAGUCGGUUUCACCGUUGUGUAUGUUUGGUGUCCCUUAGGCUUUCCGACACCAAUGAUAGUGUCAUUCUUCAAAUUUAUAACCUAUAAAUUCAUUAUUUUGCUUUAUACAUGCAAAAUAAUAAUUAUUAGAUUCUUUUAAUGUCAAAAUAAUUAUUAUUAAGUUUUUUAAUUGUUAUUAUAUUGUGCCCAAAUCUAAUCAGCUAACUCUCUCUCUUCAUUUUCCUUUUU
This 6733-nucleotide long non-coding RNA is filed under the name Malus domestica (apple). Its description in RNAcentral is "long non-coding RNA (MDOM_LNC006914)". The record is from RNAcentral. Lineage: Eukaryota; Viridiplantae; Streptophyta; Magnoliopsida; Rosales; Rosaceae.